GACGAACGCUGGCGGCGUGCUUAACACAUGCAAGUCGAACGGAAAGGCCCUGCUUUUGUGGGGUGCUCGAGUGGCGAACGGGUGAGUAACACGUGAGUAACCUGCCCUUGACUUUGGGAUAACUUCAGGAAACUGGGGCUAAUACCGGAUAGGAGCUCCUGCUGCAUGGCGGGGGUUGGAAAGUUUCGGCGGUUGGGGAUGGACUCGCGGCUUAUCAGCUUGUUGGUGGGGUAGUGGCUUACCAAGGCUUUGCCGGGUAGCCGGCCUGAGAGGGGGACCGGCGACAUUGGGACUGAGAUACAGCCCAGACUCCAACGGGAGGCAGCAGUGGGGAAUAUUGCACAAUGGGCGGAAGCCUAAUGCAGCAACGCCGCGUGCGGGAUGUCGGCUUUCGGGUUGUAAACCGCUUUCGCCUGUGACGAAGCGUGUGUGACGGUAAUGGGUAAAGAAGCACCGGCUAACUACGUG
This 468-nucleotide ribosomal RNA is filed under the name uncultured bacterium. Its description in RNAcentral is "partial 16S ribosomal RNA". It matches the Rfam family "Bacterial small subunit ribosomal RNA", at positions 28 to 507 of the family's 1533-position model. The record is from RNAcentral.